RNAcentral lists this ribosomal RNA (429 nucleotides) under uncultured bacterium. RNAcentral describes it as "bacterial SSU rRNA". It matches the Rfam family "Bacterial small subunit ribosomal RNA", at positions 355 to 776 of the family's 1533-position model. The record is from RNAcentral.
UGGGGAAUAUUGGACAAUGGGCGCAAGCCUGAUCCAGCAAUGCCGCGUGUGUGAAGAAGGCCUGCGGGUUGUAAAGCACUUUCAGUGGGGAGGAAAAAGCCAAGACUAAUAUUCUUGGAAAUUGACGUUACCCAAAGAAGAAGCACCGGCUAACUCUGUGCCAGCAGCCGCGGUAAUACAGAGGGUGCGAGCGUUAAUCGGAAUUACUGGGCGUAAAGAGCACGUAGGUGGUUUGGCAAGUUGGAUGUGAAAGCCCCGGGCUUAACCUGGGAACUGCAUUCAGUACUACCAAGCUAGAGUAGAGUAGAGGGAAGUGGAAUUUCCGGUGUAGCGGUGAAAUGCGUAGAUAUCGGAAGGAACACCAGUGGCGAAGGCGGCUUCCUGGACUCAUACUGACACUGAGGUGCGAAAGCGUGGGGAGCAAACAGG